AGCGUAGGCGGUUUUUUAAGUGGGGUGUGAAAUCCCUGGGCUUAACCCAGGAAUUGCAUUCCAUACUGGGAAACUAGAGUGCAGGAGAGGAAAGUGGAAUUCCAAGUGUAGCGGUGAAAUGCGUAGAGAUUUGGAGGAACACCAGUGGCGAAGGCGACUUUCUGGACUGUAACUGACGCUGAGGCUCGAGAGCGUGGGGAGCAAACAGGAUUAGAUACCCUGGUAGUCCACGCUGUAAACGAUGAAUACUAGGUGUUGGGGGCGAAGCCCUCAGUGCCGCAGUUAACACAUUAAGUAUUCCGCCUGAGGAGUACGAUCGCAAGAUUAAA
RNAcentral lists this ribosomal RNA (329 nucleotides) under uncultured bacterium. Its description in RNAcentral is "bacterial SSU rRNA". It matches the Rfam family "Bacterial small subunit ribosomal RNA", at positions 568 to 898 of the family's 1533-position model. The record is from RNAcentral.